GAUGAACGCUAGCUACAGGCUUAACACAUGCAAGUCGAGGGGAAACGGCAUCGAAAGCUUGCUUUUGAUGGGCGUCGACCGGCGCACGGGUGAGUAACGCGUAUCCAACCUGCCCAUCACUUGGGAAUAACCUUGCGAAAGUAAGACUAAUGCCCAAUGACAUCCCACGAAGGCAUCCGAAUGGGAUUAAAGAUUUAUCGGUGAUGGAUGGGGAUGCGUCUGAUUAGCUUGUUGGCGGGGUGACGGCCCACCAAGGCAACGAUCAGUAGGGGUUCUGAGAGGAAGGUCCCCCACAUUGGAACUGAGACACGGUCCAAACUCCUACGGGAGGCAGCAGUGAGGAAGAUUGGUCAAUGGGCGAGAGCCUGAACCAGCCAAGUAGCGUGCAGGAUGACGGCCCUAUGGGUUGUAAACUGCUUUUAUAAGGGAAUAAAGUGGGUCACGUGUGACUUUUUGCAUGUACCUUAUGAAUAAGGACCGGCUAAUUCCGUG
RNAcentral lists this ribosomal RNA (492 nucleotides) under uncultured bacterium. RNAcentral's name for it is "partial 16S ribosomal RNA". It matches the Rfam family "Bacterial small subunit ribosomal RNA", at positions 28 to 507 of the family's 1533-position model. The record is from RNAcentral.